GAAGAGUGACCUUUGCGCAGACAGUUGA
Molecule: non-coding RNA, 28 nt
Filed under: Bombyx mori (domestic silkworm)
Lineage: Eukaryota; Metazoa; Arthropoda; Insecta; Lepidoptera; Bombycidae
Source: RNAcentral